GAAUCUUGGACAAUGGGGGCAACCCUGAUCCAGCGAUGCCGCGUGGGUGAAGAAGGCCUUCGGGUUGUAAAGCCCUUUAGGCUGGGAAGAAGGUGCUGAGUUGAAUAGGCUCAGUUACUUGACGGUACCAGCAGAAUAAGCACCGGCAAACUCUGUGCCAGCAGCCGCGGUAAUACAGAGGGUGCAAGCGUUAAGCGGAUUUACUGGGCGUAAAGGGCGCGUAGGCGGCCGUAUGAGUGUGAUGUGAAAGCCCUGGGCUUAACCUAGGAAGUGCAUCGCAAACGAUACGGCUGGAGUACAUGAGAGGGUAGUGGAAUUUCCGGUGUAGCGGUGAAAUGCGUAGAGAUCGGAAGGAACGUCGAUGGCGAAGGCAGCCACCUGGCAUGAUACUGACGCUGAGGAGCGAAAGCGUGGGGAGCGAACAGG
This 426-nucleotide ribosomal RNA is filed under the name uncultured bacterium. RNAcentral's name for it is "bacterial SSU rRNA". It matches the Rfam family "Bacterial small subunit ribosomal RNA", at positions 359 to 776 of the family's 1533-position model. The record is from RNAcentral.